Molecule: non-coding RNA, 343 nt
Organism: Triticum urartu
Lineage: Eukaryota; Viridiplantae; Streptophyta; Magnoliopsida; Poales; Poaceae
Source: RefSeq, a predicted model, not a curated record
GUGGAGCGACGACAACGAGGAAUCGGGCUACCAGUACUCUUCAGGCGGCUCCCCUAUCAAGAUCCCGGCUACAAUCGAGGACCCGAACUACUCUGGUGUUGACGAUGAGGUGAUGGUGAUGUGUGAGCAUGGCCAGCCGGCGAAGAGGCAUGUUUGCUUCGAAGGGAUUAGCACUGGGAGGAGGUUCAUUGCCUGUGGACUUGAUGAAGCAAGCAGUUGUGGUGUUGUUCAGUGGGUAGAUGAGGAGUGGCCAGAGCAUCUGCAUAAUGCUCUUCACAAACUAUGGCUUUUGUAUGAGGAUUGCCAGCGUGCUAAUAGGAUGGCAUGUCUGGAACAUGCAUCA